RNAcentral lists this ribosomal RNA (253 nucleotides) under uncultured bacterium. Its description in RNAcentral is "partial 16S ribosomal RNA". It matches the Rfam family "Bacterial small subunit ribosomal RNA", at positions 524 to 776 of the family's 1533-position model. The record is from RNAcentral.
UACGUAGGGUGCAAGCGUUGUCCGGAAUUAUUGGGCGUAAAGGGCUCGUAGGCGGUCUGUCACGUCGGGAGUGAAAACUCGGGGCUUAACCCCGAGCCUGCUUCCGAUACGGGCAGACUAGAGGUAUGCAGGGGAGAAUGGAAUUCCCAGUGUAGCGGUGAAAUGCGUAGAUAUUGGGAAGAACACCUGAGGCGAAGGCGGGUUGCUGGGCCGACACUGACGCUGAGGCGCGAAAGCCAGGGGAGCAAACGGG